AUUGAACGCUGGCGGCAGGCCUAACACAUGCAAGUCGAACGAGUGGCGGACGGGUGAGUAAUGUCUGGGAAACUGCCUGAUGGCGGGGGAUAACUACUGGAAACGGUAGCUAAUACCGCAUACCAUCAGAUGUGCCCAGAUGGGAUUAGCUAGUUGGUGGGGUAACGGCUCACCAAGGCGACGAUCCCUAGCUGGUCUGAGAGGAUGACCAGCCACCGUGGAACUGAGACACGGGCCAGACUCCUACUGGAGGCAGCGUUGGGGAAGAUUGAAAAAGGGGCGAAAGCCUGAUGGAGCCAUGGCGCGUGUAUUAAAAAGGCCCUCGGGUUGUAAAGGACUUUCAGCGGGGAGGCGUUACCCGCAGAGGAAGCACCGGCUAACUCCGUGCCAGCCGCCGCUGUAAUAC
RNAcentral lists this ribosomal RNA (406 nucleotides) under uncultured bacterium. Its description in RNAcentral is "partial 16S ribosomal RNA". It matches the Rfam family "Bacterial small subunit ribosomal RNA", at positions 30 to 526 of the family's 1533-position model. The record is from RNAcentral.